This 349-nucleotide long non-coding RNA is filed under the name Populus trichocarpa (black cottonwood). Its description in RNAcentral is "long non-coding RNA (PTRI_LNC001035)". The record is from RNAcentral. Lineage: Eukaryota; Viridiplantae; Streptophyta; Magnoliopsida; Malpighiales; Salicaceae.
UCUAAGGUCAGCCCUUGAUUUCCUAGAGCUUCAGCCUGAUUUAUCAGCCCUUGUUCGCGGCGCCCAUACUUUCCGGUGCCCAAAUCUUGGGAUUACUAGCUGGGUUAGACUGCCAAUCCAUGAUGCAGAUUUUGGCUGGGGAAGACCUAUAUUUAUGGGGCCUGGUGGGAUCGCAUACGAGGGCUUAUCAUUCAUCAUACCAAGCUCAACAAAUGACGGGAGCUUGUCAGUAGCCAUAUCUUUGCAAGCUGAACACAUGAAACUAUUUGAGAAGUUUAUAUAUGACAUUAAAGAAUGAGCCGAGGCCAUUAUCCUGUCAUGGUUUCUGUCCUCCCUUCAGUAAAUCAGG